AGGACGAACGCUGGCGGCGUGCUUAACACAUGCAAGUCGAGCGGAAAGGCCCUUCGGGGUACUCGAGCGGCGAACGGGUGAGUAACACGUGAGUAAUCUGCCCCUAGCUCUGGGAUAGCUCCGGGAAAACCGGGAUUAAUACUGGAUACGACCACCUUAGACAUCUUUUGUGGUGGAAAGAAUUUCGGCUAGGGAUGAGCUCGCGGCCUAUCAGCUUGUUGGUGGGGUAACGGCCUACCAAGGCGACGACGGGUAGCCGGCCUGAGAGGGCGACCGGCCACACUGGGACUGAGACACGGCCCAGACUCCUACGGGAGGCAGCAGUGGGGAAUAUUGCGCAAUGGGCGAAAGCCUGACGCAGCGACGCCGCGUGGGGGAUGAAGGCCUUCGGGUUGUAAACCCCUUUCAGCAGGGACGAAGCGAAGUGACGGUACCUGCAGAAGAAGCGCCGGCUAACUACGUGCCAGCAGCCGC
Molecule: ribosomal RNA, 474 nt
Filed under: uncultured bacterium
Lineage: Bacteria
Description: SSU rRNA
Rfam family: Bacterial small subunit ribosomal RNA
Source: RNAcentral